This is a long non-coding RNA of Cucumis melo (muskmelon), 1613 nucleotides long. RefSeq lists it as uncharacterized. NCBI's taxonomy places the organism in Eukaryota, Viridiplantae, Streptophyta, Magnoliopsida, Cucurbitales, Cucurbitaceae. The record is from RefSeq and is a predicted model, not a curated record. The transcript has 7 exons.
CUAUCUUUCCUUCUUCAACAUCCCUAUCUUUCCUUCUUCUCACACACUCCAUUUUCCUUCUUCAAAAUCCCUCCCCUCACUAACGACGAACGACGCACGACGAAAACCCCAACCUUAACCCCAUUCUUCUCAUCUCCACAUCCUUUCUUCUCGGUGACGGAGACCCACAGCGAGGAGACCCAUAUCGUUGCCGGAGAAGAGAAAAAUCAAUUGAAGAACAUGAAGAUGAAACCGUUUCUGCACAAGCGAGAGUUUUAUCUUGAAGGAGGUGCAAUGGUUUUGGUUGAUGGAGGUGUUAUUUGCAUUGAUGAGUUUGACAAAAUGAGAUCAAAGCAUAGGUAACCUAAAAGACAGAAGAUGUCCAAUUCUUUUCUUCUUUCUCCUAAGGUUUGUUGCUGUUUUUUAAAUGAUGUUGUUCUUUGAUCAUUCUCUUGAGGUUUUAGGAAUGUUAUCCAUUAUUGCAGACUGGGCUGAUUAAAUGUCAUUACUUAUACAUUUUGUUUGUGAUCCGAGUUGCACCUCUUCUGGCUAGAUCCAAUUUGCUCAUUAUCAGGGAUAUAGAGUGGGCAACCAAACUCCUAGCAUCAUCUUAAGAAUGUCAAGAGUGCUUGUGUAAUUUGAUAGAUCCUUUUGUUGAAUUAUGUUUCCAGCCUUUUAACUUUCCUUUUUUUAGCAAAAAUCAUGUUGAUGAUCAAACACACUUUUCUCAUUUAAUGGUAUCUUAGCAACCCCUCCUCCUCCUUCUUUGUUGUUGGGUUAUAAUUGGUUUAUUUAUACAUUUUAUCUAUAUAUUGGACACCAACUUCACAUUAUGAAGAAAGCCUUGAAUUUCACCUUUUAUUAUAUAUGAAUGAGCUUACACCCACUCCUAUCUAUAUGAUAGAUUUUCAGUAAAAGGAUUUUAAUGUUUAGGGAUGAUAGAAAAUGAGAUGAAAUCUUCUCUAAAUAAUCUUCUACUUCUUGUUGCAGUUUUUUGGUAUUUUAACCUGGUUGUAUUUGUUGGUUAAUUAGCGAUAUAAAUCUAUUGUUUGUUUGGUUCUAAGUUUCUUCUCUUGAAUUCAACUUGCUUUGUUUUCUAUUCGUAAUUUGGAAUCCAAUUCCUUGCUUAUGGUUUGGAAUUUUGUUCUAUUAUGCCUCCAUGUGAAAACAUUACUUGAAUUGCUACCUGUGACUGAUGUUUGAGUUUUUACAGUAAAGGAGUGUGUUAUCAUGAAUUAGGUGGAACACCGAGUUGAAAUAUAUGUCAUCUACCUUCUUUUGCCGACAUGGAGAUGGAUAGCCUCUUAAACUCACAAUAAAGGUACACUUUACUUGCAAGGUCAGGCUCGGUUCCUUUGGAUGCUAUCAACUAAACAUGGAGUUCUAUCUUUGAGACUUUUUAAAUGUUUUGGAGAGUUCUUCCAAAAGUUAGUGCUUGUAAAGUAUAGCGAGUAAUUCUUUCUCAUACUUCAUUAUAUGUUUCAAGGUUUUGCCACAAAUCCAUUGGAGCAGUGAAGUCAUAUUUGCAGCAAUUCAUUGAUGUAUAGGCAUUUUUGUAGGUUUGGUAGGAAAAUUUCUGGUUUAAAUGCAGUUAUUUAAAUAGCUUGUUCGUAACAAACCAUAUAUGUACCAAC